GUCACUGCUAUUGGGAUUCGACUAAGCCAUGCGAGUCGAGAGGGUUCGGCCCUCGGCGAACUGCUCAGUAACACGUGGAUAAUUUGCCCUUAGGUGGAGGAUAACCUCGGGAAACUGAGAAUAAUACUCCAUAGAUCUAGGAUGCUGGAAUGCACUUAGAUUAAAAGCUCCGGCGCCUAAGGAUAAGUCUGCGGACUAUCAGGUUGUAGUCAGGGUAAAGACCUGACUAGCCUACAACGGAUACGGGUUGUGAGAGCAAUAACCCGGAGACGAUAUCUGAGACACGAUAUCGGGCCCUACGGGGCGCAGCAGGCGCGAAACCUUCGCACUGUGCGAAAGCGCGAUGAGGGGAUCCCAAGUGCUUGCUCGUAAGAGUAAGCUGUUUUUAUGUCUAAAAAGCAUAGAGAGUAAGGGCUGGGUAAGACGGGUGCCAGCCGCCGCGGUAAUACCUGCAGCUCAAGUGGUGAUCAUUAUUAUUGGGCCUAAAACGUCCGUAGCCGGUUUGGUAAAUGCCUGGGUAAAUCGUGUAGCUUAACUAUACGAAUUCCGGGUAGACUGCCAAACUUGAGACCGGGAGAGGCUAGAGGUACUCCUGGGGUAGAGGUGAAAUUCUGUAAUCCUAGGGGGACCACCAGUGGCGAAGGCGUCUAGCUAGAACGGGUCUGACGGUCAGGGACGAAGCCCUGGGGCGCGAACCGGAUUAGAUACCCGGGUAGUCCAGGGUGUAAACGCUGCUUGCUUGAUGUUAGUUGGGCUUC
This 758-nucleotide ribosomal RNA is filed under the name uncultured archaeon. RNAcentral's name for it is "bacterial SSU rRNA". It matches the Rfam family "Archaeal small subunit ribosomal RNA", at positions 23 to 786 of the family's 1478-position model. The record is from RNAcentral.